Molecule: long non-coding RNA, 226 nt
Filed under: Lathyrus oleraceus (garden pea)
Lineage: Eukaryota; Viridiplantae; Streptophyta; Magnoliopsida; Fabales; Fabaceae
Description: Pisum sativum (pea) long non-coding RNA (PSAT_LNC005128)
Source: RNAcentral
UUUCCUACACUCAUUCUGAAUGCUUUGAACACAAGAUGUUUGGCUUGACCGUUUGAGGUAUUCACCUUUAUCCAUAGUCUUUAGUGCAAUCCGAAAUCAAUAACGUUUUCUCAAAACCUAAAAACAAUUCAACGCAUUCAAACCUUUUGUUUGAGCCUUAGGGCGACACCAUUCGAAAAUCCUUCUUCAAGGUAAUAAAAUCAACAAAACAAACACAAACAAUUUC